This 376-nucleotide unclassified non-coding RNA is filed under the name Hevea brasiliensis (rubber tree). Lineage: Eukaryota; Viridiplantae; Streptophyta; Magnoliopsida; Malpighiales; Euphorbiaceae. The record is from RNAcentral.
CUGUAAUUCUCUUCUUUGGAGCAGUUUCUUUUUCCGCUCUUGCAGAGCCAGUUGAAGAUAAACAAGCUUUACUAGAUUUCCUUCACAAUAUUCAUUACUUGCAUUCUCUCAAUUGGAAGCAGAACUCUUCAGUAUGCAGGGAGUGGAGAGGAGUGACCUGUAACGGUGAUAAUUCUAGAGUUAUAGCCCUCAGGUUGCCUGGAGAGGGAAUUCAAGGCCCAAUCCCGCCAAACACUCUUAGUCGCCUGUCGGCAGUUCAGAUCCUGAGCCUCAGAUUGAAUGGUAUAUCGGGUUCUUUCCCUUCCGAUUUCUCCAAACUUGGAAACUUGACCGGCCUUUAUCUUCAAUUCAACAACUUCUCAGGCCCAUUGCCUUC